RNAcentral lists this long non-coding RNA (205 nucleotides) under Phoenix dactylifera (date palm). Its description in RNAcentral is "long non-coding RNA (PDAC_LNC006002)". Lineage: Eukaryota; Viridiplantae; Streptophyta; Magnoliopsida; Arecales; Arecaceae. The record is from RNAcentral.
CAGGAAUUUGGACCCAUAGCUCCUAUAUCUUUUAUACUGGAGUUAUAGGAGUUUUGGAUUUCAUUGUUGUAAAAUGUCUUUGAAUAUGUUAUUUACUAAUUUAUGUUCUUCAUCAUAUAUUCUUACAUAUAUAGACUAGUGUUUCUUUUUUGUUAAUCAUGGUGCAUAUCAUCCCGUUGUAAAAUUACCAUGUAUAGUUUUUUUU